GUGCUGAUGAGCAGGAUGAAAGUAACCACUAUAAAUAGUUACCUUUGAUGCCUCACGAAUGUGGGACAUCAAACCAUUGCCAGAGUGCUCAAACUGCAAGCAGUGAGCAUGCGCACAAUGCGUAAGCAGCAAUGGCUCAUCCUGUAGAGUGCUCAAUAUGACACAAAGGCCAUAGAGCAAUAUCUAACUACAGACGGUACCGUUUCGGC
This is a non-coding RNA of Paramuricea clavata, 209 nucleotides long. The record is from the annotation of a GenBank genome assembly. Lineage: Eukaryota; Metazoa; Cnidaria; Anthozoa; Malacalcyonacea; Plexauridae.